This 789-nucleotide ribosomal RNA is filed under the name uncultured bacterium. RNAcentral's name for it is "bacterial SSU rRNA". It matches the Rfam family "Bacterial small subunit ribosomal RNA", at positions 8 to 796 of the family's 1533-position model. The record is from RNAcentral.
AGAGUUUGAUCCUGGCUCAGAUUGAACGCUGGCGGCAUGCCUAACACAUGCAAGUCGCACGCGAAAGGGGGCAACCCCGAGUAGAGUGGCGGACGGGUGCGUAAUACGCAGGAAUCUACCCACGAGUGGGGGACAACCCGGGGAAACCCGGGCCAAUACCGCAUGAGACCUACGGGUGAAAGCGGGGGAUCGCAAGACCUCGCGCUGGUGGAUGAGCCUGCGUCCGAUUAGCUAGUUGGUAGGGUAAAAGCCUACCAAGGCAACGAUCGGUAGCUGGUCUGAGAGGACGACCAGCCACACUGGGACUGAGACACGGCCCAGACUCCUACGGGAGGCAGCAGUGGGGAAUAUUGGACAAUGGGGGCAACCCUGAUCCAGCAAUGCCGCGUGUGUGAAGAAGGCCUUCGGGUUGUAAAGCACUUUCGAUGGGGACAAACGUGUCGGGCUUAAUACGUCCGGCCUUGAUGGUACCCAGAGAAGAAGCACCGGCUAACUCUGUGCCAGCAGCCGCGGUAAUACAGAGGGUGCAAGCGUUAAUCGGAAUUACUGGGCGUAAAGCGUGCGUAGGUGGUUGGAUAAGUCAGGUGUGAAAUCCCCGAGCUUAACUUGGGAAUUGCGCUUGAUACUGUCCGGCUAGAGUGUGGUAGAGGGUAGUGGAAUUCCGCAUGUAGCGGUGAAAUGCGUAGAUAUGCGGAGGAACAUCAGUGGCGAAGGCGGCUACCUGGACCAACACUGACACUGAGGCACGAAAGCGUGGGUAGCAAACAGGAUUAGAUACCCUGGUAGUCG